AGAAAUGAGAGUAAUUUGGCUGCAACAUCUGUCACCUUACUGAUUGCUUAAUCUGGGUGACUGGGCAGGUCUCCUCAACCUUCCUAACUUCUCCAUGUAUGUCCCUCCUGAAGCUUCUUGUGAUGUCAAAGAGGAUGACCCUCCCCAAUAGAAGAAGACCAUUCUUCUGUCAAGGUACACAAGGAGCUCUGUUCCUGUUAGAACCUUCAAACAUGCUGUUCAGGCAAUAGAUGUAAAUGGUGAGACUUUGGAUGCUAAAAUUCUAAAAAGUUA
This is an unclassified non-coding RNA of Otolemur garnettii (small-eared galago), 273 nucleotides long. Its record names the gene 7SK. It matches the Rfam family "7SK RNA". From Rfam's summary of the family: 7SK was discovered as an abundant small nuclear RNA in the mid-70s but a possible function has only recently been suggested. NCBI's taxonomy places the organism in Eukaryota, Metazoa, Chordata, Mammalia, Primates, Galagidae. The record is from Ensembl.